This 433-nucleotide ribosomal RNA is filed under the name uncultured bacterium. Its description in RNAcentral is "partial 16S ribosomal RNA". It matches the Rfam family "Bacterial small subunit ribosomal RNA", at positions 29 to 507 of the family's 1533-position model. The record is from RNAcentral.
AACGAACGCUGGCAGCAUGCCUAACACAUGCAAGUCGAACGAGACCUUCGGGGCUAGUGGCGCACGGGUGCGUAACGCGUGGGAACCUGCCCUUAGGUUCGGAAUAACUCCCCGAAAGGGGUGCUAAUACCGGAUAAUGUCUUCGGACCAAAGAUUUAUCGCCUUUGGAUGGGCCCGCGUUGGAUUAGCUAGUUGGUAGGGUAAAAGCCUACCAAGGCGACGAUCCAUAGCUGGUCUGAGAGGAUGAUCAGCCACACUGGGACUGAGACACGGCCCAGACUCCUACGGGAGGCAGCAGUGGGGAAUAUUGGACAAUGGGCGAAAGCCUGAUCCAGCAAUGCCGCGUGAGUGAUGAAGGCCUUAGGGUUGUAAAGCUCUUUUACCCGGGAUGAUAAUGACAGUACCGGGAGAAUAAGCUCCGGCUAACUCCGUG